This 75-nucleotide transfer RNA is filed under the name Candidatus Peribacteria bacterium RIFCSPHIGHO2_01_FULL_51_9. RNAcentral's name for it is "tRNA-Gly". It matches the Rfam family "tRNA". From Rfam's summary of the family: Transfer RNA (tRNA) molecules are approximately 80 nucleotides in length. Their secondary structure includes four short double-helical elements and three loops (D, anti-codon, and T loops). Lineage: Bacteria; Candidatus Peregrinibacteriota; Candidatus Peribacteria. The record is from RNAcentral.
GCGGGUAUCGUAUAGUGGCUAUUACCUCAGGUUUCCAACCUGAUGACGCGGGUUCGAUUCCCACUACCCGCUCCA